RNAcentral lists this microRNA precursor (105 nucleotides) under Marmota monax (woodchuck). The record is from RNAcentral. Lineage: Eukaryota; Metazoa; Chordata; Mammalia; Rodentia; Sciuridae.
AUGCAAAUCGCCUGGGAUCAUGUUAAAAAUACAGAUCCUGGCUCAGUGAGUCUGGGAUGGGGCCUGAGGGUCUGCAUUUCAGACCAGCUCUUAGGUGAUGCUGAU